Molecule: ribosomal RNA, 457 nt
Filed under: uncultured Pseudomonadota bacterium
Lineage: Bacteria; Pseudomonadati; Pseudomonadota
Description: bacterial SSU rRNA
Rfam family: Bacterial small subunit ribosomal RNA
Source: RNAcentral
ACGAUCCGUAGCUGGUCUGAGAGGAUGAUCAGCCACACUGGAACUGAGACACGGUCCAGACUCCUACGGGAGGCAGCAGUGGGGAAUAUUGGACAAUGGGCGCAAGCCUGAUCCAGCCAUACCGCGUGGGUGAAGAAGGCCUUCGGGUUGUAAAGCCCUUUUGUUGGGAAAGAAAUCCAGCUGGCUAAUACCCGGUUGGGAUGACGGUACCCAAAGCAAUAAGCACCGGCUAACUUCGUGCCAGCAGCCGCGGUAAUACGAAGGGUGCAAGCGUUACUCGGAAUUACUGGGCGUACAGCGUGCGUACGUGGUUAUUUAAGUCCGUUGUGAAGCCCUGGGCUCAACCUGGGAACUGCAGUGGAUACUGGAUGACUAGUAUGUGGUAGAGGGUAGCGGAAUUCCUGGUGUAGCAGUGAAAUGCGUAGAGAUCAGGAGGAACAUCCAUGGCGAAGGCAGC